This 602-nucleotide ribosomal RNA is filed under the name uncultured fungus. RNAcentral describes it as "eukaryotic LSU rRNA". It matches the Rfam family "Eukaryotic large subunit ribosomal RNA", at positions 40 to 647 of the family's 3401-position model. Lineage: Eukaryota; Fungi. The record is from RNAcentral.
AUAUCAAUAAGCGGAGGAAGAGAAACUAACCAGGAUUCCCCUAGUAACGGCGAGCGAACCGGGAAGAGCCCAAAGUGAGAAUCUCCAGCCCCCGGCUGGCGAAUUGUAGUCUAUGGAAGCGGCCUCUGUGGCGGCUCGGGUCCAAGUUCCCUGGAAAGGGACGUCGGAGAGGGUGAGAACCCCGUGGGCCCCGACGCCGCGCCACCCCACGAGACGCUCUCCUCGAGUCGGGUUGUUUGGGAAUGCAGCCCAAAGCCGGUGGUAAAUCCCAUCUAAGGCUAAAUACCGACGGGAGACCGAUAGCGAACAAGUACCGCGAGGGAAAGAUGAAAAGAACUUUGAAAAGAGAGUCAAAAAGUGCUUGAAAUUGUUGAGAGGGAAGCGAUUGGAAGCCGUGGGUGCCCCGGGGGCCACGGGGGCCGUCUCUGACGACCCUCUGAAUCCACUCGGGGCUGGUCAGCAUGGGUUGGCCGGGAGGGAGAACACCGGGGGAUGAACACCCCGGCCACGCCUCCCGGGCGACCGAGGAAACCGAAGGGUGCCCCAGUCGAGCCUGGCUCGAUCCGCACGCCUCAGGAUGCUGGCAGAAGGUGUCCAAUCGG